Molecule: non-coding RNA, 115 nt
Filed under: Moritella yayanosii
Lineage: Bacteria; Pseudomonadati; Pseudomonadota; Gammaproteobacteria; Alteromonadales; Moritellaceae
Description: S15
Rfam family: Ribosomal S15 leader
About the family: The E. coli Ribosomal S15 gene 5' UTR can form two alternative structures. One that is a series of three hairpins, The other includes a pseudoknot.
Source: RNAcentral
UCUUGUAGCUGAACGAGUGGUCGGCUAUAAGCUAUUUAUCUAUAUUGGAGACUCCACUAUGUCAUUAAACGCUGAAGCUAAAGCAGCUAUCGUUGCAGAUUUCGCACGCCAAGAA